Molecule: unclassified non-coding RNA, 404 nt
Filed under: soil metagenome
Description: partial contains 5.8S ribosomal RNA, internal transcribed spacer 2, and large subunit ribosomal RNA
Rfam family: 5.8S ribosomal RNA (bases 1-122)
Source: RNAcentral
GAUGAAGAACGUAGCAAAAUGCGAUACUUGGUGUGAAUUGCAGAAUCCCGUGAACCAUCAAGUUUUUGAACGCAAGUUGCGCCCGAAGCCUUUUGGCCGAGGGCACGUCUGCCUGGGCGUCACGCAUCGCGUCGCCCCCCACAAUUCUCCGUAAAAGGAACAUGUGUUUUGGGGGCGGAUAUUGGUCUCCCGUGCUCAUGGCGUGGUUGGCCGAAAUAGGAGUCCUUUCGAUGGACGCACGAACUAGUGGUGGUCGUAAAAACCCUCGUCUUUUGUUUCGUGCUGUUGCUCGCAAGGUAAACUCUUUAAAAACCCCAAUGUGUCGUCUCUUGACGACGCUUCGACCGCGACCCCAGGUCAGGCGGGACUACCCGCUGAGUUUAAGCAUAUCAAUAAGCGGAGGA